GACGAACGCUGGCGGCGUGCUUAACACAUGCCAGUCGAACGGAAAGGCCCUGCUUGCAGGGUACUCGAGUGGCGAACGGGUGAGUAACACGUGGGUGAUCUGCCCUGCACUUCGGGAUAAGCCUGGGAAACUGGGUCUAAUACCGGAUAGGAGCCAUUUUUAGUGUGAUGGUUGGAAAGUUUUUUCGGUGUAGGAUGAGCUCGCGGCCUAUCAGCUUGUUGGUGGGGUAAUGGCCUACCAAGGCGGCGACGGGUAGCCGGCCUGAGAGGGUGGACGGCCACAUUGGGACUGAGAUGCGGCCCAGACUCCUACGGGAGGCAGCAGUGGGGAAUAUUGCACAAUGGGCGCAAGCCUGAUGCAGCGACGCCGCGUGGGGGAUGACGGCCUUCGGGUUGUAAACUCCUUUCGCUAGGGACGAAGCUUUUUGUGACGGUACCUAGAUAAGAAGCACCGGCUAACUACGUG
Molecule: ribosomal RNA, 465 nt
Filed under: uncultured bacterium
Lineage: Bacteria
Description: partial 16S ribosomal RNA
Rfam family: Bacterial small subunit ribosomal RNA
Source: RNAcentral